Molecule: long non-coding RNA, 630 nt
Filed under: Melopsittacus undulatus (budgerigar)
Lineage: Eukaryota; Metazoa; Chordata; Aves; Psittaciformes; Psittaculidae
Description: lncRNA (ENSMUNG00000021975.1)
Source: RNAcentral
AGUGUAAGAAUGCAAAUAGGUAAUGUAAAAUGUACCUCUGAGUGUUCUUUUUCUGUGUUCCUUCUUUAUGUCAAUAUUAUGUCAAUAGUCUAGAGAAGUUUUUGAUGUGAUGCGCUAAAUAUUCUGACUCAUAAGAGAGCUCAGCAUUGGGUCCAUCAUUUACCAGUUCAAUCCUGUCAAAAGCUAUUGCAUCCUUCAUCUUUCUUGACCCAGGUUUGAUUUAUUUUUCCAUAGUUUUGGUUCUGAUAUGGCUUUGAAACAGUGCUGAUUUUCCCAGGAAGCCUUAAGAACCAAGGCAUCUGCUUCGUGCUGUUUGGGCAGCUCAAACAACUGCAGAGGGAAUGGAAUAAUCUCCCACUCUGACCUCUGACAGCAUCACAUUUCCACUGCCUGCAACCUGCCCCCAUCACGGUGCCCUGUACGUGUAGCACUGCAGGAAGAGCUGGGGAAACUCCUGUUUUCUGGGCCAUGACCUAUGAAGCUGUAUGAUUUUAGGGAAGACCAGACUUCCCUUGUUCCAGAAACUUGGCUUGACUUAGGAGGAAACCCCAUAACUGUGCCUUAAAACUUGAAUUGCAUCAGUGUGGCAAAACAGAGUGUGAUUUGGCGAUUUUGCACCUCUGGAUUUUG